This 500-nucleotide ribosomal RNA is filed under the name uncultured bacterium. RNAcentral's name for it is "partial 16S ribosomal RNA". It matches the Rfam family "Bacterial small subunit ribosomal RNA", at positions 30 to 523 of the family's 1533-position model. The record is from RNAcentral.
AUUGAACGCUGGCGGUAUGCUUUACACAUGCAAGUCGAACGGCAGCACGGACUUCGGUCUGGUGGCGAGUGGCGAACGGGUGAGUAAUGUAUCGGAACGUGCCCAGUCGUGGGGGAUAACGUAGUGAAAAUUACGCUAAUACCGCAUACGAUCUAUGGAUGAAAGCGGGGGAUCGCAAGACCUCGCGCGAUUGGAGCGGCCGAUAUCAGAUUAGGUAGUUGGUGGGGUAAAGGCCCACCAAGCCAACGAUCUGUAGCUGGUCUGAGAGGACGACCAGCCACACUGGAACUGAGACACGGUCCAGACUCCUACGGGAGGCAGCAGUGGGGAAUUUUGGACAAUGGGCGAAAGCCUGAUCCAGCCAUUCCGCGUGCAGGAUGUAGGCCCUCGGGUUGUAAACUGCUUUUGUACAGAACGAAAAGGUUUCUACUAAUACUAGGAGCUCAUGACGGUACUGUAAGAAUAAGCACCGGCUAACUACGUGCCAGCAGCCGCAGUAA